RNAcentral lists this ribosomal RNA (739 nucleotides) under uncultured bacterium. RNAcentral's name for it is "bacterial SSU rRNA". It matches the Rfam family "Bacterial small subunit ribosomal RNA", at positions 66 to 812 of the family's 1533-position model. The record is from RNAcentral.
CCUUGAUUGAGGUUUCGGCCAAAUGAUAGGAAUGCUUAGUGGCGGACUGGUGAGUAACGCGUGAGGAACCUGCCUUUCAGAGGGGGACAACAGUUGGAAACGGCUGCUAAUACCGCAUGACGCAUUUUGAUCGCAUGGUCGAAAUGCCAAAGAUUUAUCGCUGAAAGAUGGCCUCGCGUCUGAUUAGCUAGUUGGUGAGGUAACGGCCCACCAAGGCGACGAUCAGUAGCCGGACUGAGAGGUUGACCGGCCACAUUGGGACUGAGAUACGGCCCAGACUCCUACGGGAGGCAGCAGUGGGGAAUAUUGGGCAAUGGGCGCAAGCCUGACCCAGCAACGCCGCGUGAAGGAAGAAGGCUUUCGGGUUGUAAACUUCUUUUAAGUGGGAAGAGUAGAAGACGGUACCACUUGAAUAAGCCACGGCUAACUACGUGCCAGCAGCCGCGGUAAUACGUAGGUGGCAAGCGUUGUCCGGAUUUACUGGGUGUAAAGGGCGUGCAGCCGGGCAUGCAAGUCAGAUGUGAAAUCUCAGGGCUUAACCCUGAAACUGCAUUUGAAACUGUAUGUCUUGAGUGCCGGAGAGGUAAUCGGAAUUCCUUGUGUAGCGGUGAAAUGCGUAGAUAUAAGGAAGAACACCAGUGGCGAAGGCGGAUUACUGGACGGUAACUGACGGUGAGGCGCGAAAGCGUGGGGAGCGAACAGGAUUAGAUACCCUGGUAGUCCACGCUGUAAACGAUGG